This 6522-nucleotide long non-coding RNA is filed under the name Sus scrofa (pig). Its description in RNAcentral is "lncRNA (ENSSSCG00000059959.1)". The record is from RNAcentral. Lineage: Eukaryota; Metazoa; Chordata; Mammalia; Artiodactyla; Suidae.
CUUUAGGUUUAAUAAAAAUAUAAACAUUUUGCAAGAUGUGAAUAUUUCAAUAUAAGUACAGCUGACUUAGUUUGCAUAUUUGCUAGGGCCUGGGGUGGAAAAAUGAUCAUUUCCUUAGGUUUGGCUUGCAUAUAUUUAUGCUAUAAUCUAGGUUUUAGACCCUUUACUUUUGUGAACACAUGUUUAUUAAAUGUAGGGCCCUCCAGAAGCUUAUAGUGCACCAUUUGAGGAGUUCCCAUCAUGGCUCAGCGGAAAUGAAUCUGACUAGUAUCCAUGAAGACACAGGUUCAAUUCCUGGUCUCGCUCAGUGGGUUAAGGAUCUGGCGUUGCUGUGAGCCGUGGUGUAGGUUGCAGACACGGCUUGGAUCCCACGUUGGUGGUGUCGGCCAGCAUCUGUAGCUCUGAUUCGAUCACUACCCUGGGAACUUCCAUAUGUCACAGGUGCAGCCCUAAAAAAAAAAAAAAAAAAAAAGAAAUACAUUUGAGAACCAAGGUUCUUGGAAUACAUUACAAAUAAAAUAGACAAAUUCUCACCUUUGUGUGCAUGAGUGCGUGUGUAUGUGUUAAGUAAAUAAUCUGGUAUGUUAGAAGGUGAAAAGUAUCAUGGAGAAUAGGAAAAGUAGAACAAGUUACAAGGAUCUCUUAAUUUAAAAUUAAGUACUUUUUUCCUCUGAAAUUUGUGAAGAUAAUAGAACUUAGACAUGAAGCAGAGUGGGUUAUUAGUUAGUGACUGGUUGUCUUGCCAUGAGAAGAGAAAACAAGAACUUUAGAUGUUCUUUUUAAAGAUUUCCUUCAGGAGUUGCUUUAAAGUAGAUUUCUCAUUAGCCACUAAAUUAAAUGUUUUCCCACUAGGCAAUUUUCUCCUAACACAAAAUUAGUGGGAGAACCACUAAAACAACUCUGUCAUUUAAUGACAAGAACGUAAAGGGAUGUCUACAUGGGAUGAGAGUAGGUUUCCAUUUUUUGAUAGUUGCUUUUUUUGUUUUUUCCCACUGGAAACAUAUUUAAGAAUGUAUUGGUAGAGGGAGAACUUUGGUUCAGGUAUUAAGUCCCCAGCAGGAGACUUUAGAACAAUUUGUUGGUUGCGUCAACAAAACCCUUACUUUCCAUGGGGAAUAGUUAAUAAUAACAACAAAGAAAUUAAAAGCACAGACUGUCACUUGAAUAAGUAAAUUUCACAUGGAAACUUGUGACAAAAAAAUUUCUCAAAUUUGACUGCUUUGGGAGCCUUCCUUCAUUGUCAUUUGUGAAAAUAUGACUUGCAUUCAACAUGUUGGGAACAUGCUUAAACAUACUAAAGGUCAAUCUGAUAGACUCUUCUAGAAUGUGUUAUCUGCCAAUGGUAUAGGUGUGCUGCCUGCACACACUUCAUGAGAUUAUUCUCAGCUCAUUCAGUUAGAUAAUUGCACUAGCAGUGGUUUUAGAAAAAGUCAUAUCCUCUGCCCAUGUAAAAUCUGUAAUUACCAAAUGCUCUUUCUUGUAGUGCUCUGGAGGAUUUUCUCCUGCUAAAAUGUCAUUGAUUUUUACCAGUAUGCCCAUCUCCCAAGCUUAUUUAUUUGCUUACUAAUUUCACACAUGUAUUUACUCAUUUAAAAAAAUGAAAUAACUUUUGUUUCCUUUAUGUUGGGACGUUCCACUAAGUACUUAAAGAAAAUUUUUCUGUAUAAAAAUGCUUUCAUAUAAAGGUGGGAUGGUGUUAUGGCUAAUCUCAGUAUCCAAUUUGAAUACCACUAGUUCUUUCUGUGUUACAGCUGUAGAAACAUUAAGCAAGGAGAGAUGGAUAACAGUGAAGUCAUAGAUAGAAGUGUCAGUAGGUUUGGAAACAAAUAGAAACUGGAUUAAUUCACUUAAGUGCUGUAGGUGUGAUAUUCAUAAUGAUGGCAAAGAGAAAAGGUGAAAUGUUUUUCCCUAUACUCCUUUUAAUAAAGCAGAGACAUUUUUAAUACAUUUCAGAAGUAUUUAAAUACAGUGGUCCUUUAUAUAAAGUCAGUAAUAUAUUAUUGAUAAUAAUUACUUACAUUUACAUAUUUAAGUAGUUUGCAAAGUCUUAAGAGUUCCUUUAUAAAGAAAAUUGUGUGGAUAAUUUUGUUUUUAGGCAUGUAUGGAUAAGUUAUACCAUUGCAGAUUUUAUUCAAUCUAUUUUUUAAUUGUUCCAUGUAUAUUUAGCUUACUGCUCUGCUGCAAACCUGUUUGCUUUCUGCAAAGAAUUUCCUAUACUUUAGAGAGUUGCAGUGCAAUUAAUGAGUAUAUUUAUAAUCAUUCUAAAUGCUCAAUGUAUGAUGUGUAAAUCACUCUUCUACCUACAUACGAGUUCUACUUUAGUACUAAUCACGUGGAAUUAUCUUACACAUAUUGGUGGAUGUCUCGUUUCUAACUUAAUUUCAUCCCAUAGAGUUGGAAUUAUGUUUUAUUUUCUUCAGUUUUAUAUCUUAGCUUCUAGAGAAUGAUUGUGAAAUUUCAUGUAAUUCUUUUCUGGGAGAAAUGAAAGUAAUUAAGAAGCUCCAAAGGUACCUAUUUAAUUAGCCUACUUGUAUCCUCAGAAGAAUCUUUAGUUGUAAAAAGUCUGAGGGAGCUUGCCCUUACUUAAUUGAAUCAGAACAUUUUUCACAUUUUGGAUUUCUCCCCACUCAUUUGGUUUAGCUCUCUUUUCCAGAAUGACUCACCAGAAAUUCUGGACUGUGUAGUUUCUUCUAAGUAAUAUUUUGUUGAAGCCUAUAAAUCUAUGGUUAAAUCUAAGAUCAAUAUCAAUCCUGUUUCGUUACCAGGAAGGCACUGAAUGCAUCUUUAUGAUAAGUAUGCAAAUUUGAAAAUUUAUCUCAUUGAUCUUUAAGAGUAAAGAAUUUAAUAUGCUGACAUCUACUGAACAGUUCAAAUGCAGUUUGAGAGCUGCUUAAUCUUCUUUUCAUGCGAAUGUUGCUAAACCACAGGUAUGGAGAGCUUGGCUCACAGAUAGAUUCUUCCUUCCCUGGAUAAUUGUAGUAUUUACUGAGAUGAACUUUUAUCUGUUUCAGCUUAAUAUUUCUUUGAAAGGGCAGUCCUAAUUUAGAAGCAAGUGAAUAAAAGGCAUCAUGCUUUUAAUUACUUUUAGAAAAUAACUUAAUUCUUUCCCCUUUGAGUACUCUAGAUUAAACUUUUUGGGGACAGACAAAGCAGAGGGGAGUUGCUGGUGAAGUGUUUUGAAGCCAAAUGUAAGUUAGCAAUCCUUUUAUGGAAUAAAGGAAAUUGAGAAAAACAGAACUGCCAUUUCAGCUCAAUAACUCUAGGACCUCCUAGUGAAACCAUUUUGAGACUGUUGAGUAGAAAUAGUUUAAAGGUCUGUUGUAAAAGAAACAAGAAUUUUAUUUAUUAAUUAGACUUAGCAGAGACUGCUUUGAUUUUUGCAGAAACGAAUAACCUUUUAUUCCUUGGUUAUAGUUAAAUCCUUAAGCUCAUUUGAUUUCCUGCUCCCCAUUCCAUUUCACUUGAAGAUUUCACCUCUGUUUACAGAUGUAAUAUCAUAAGCUAGUCCUGAAAAGGUUUUCAUUUCUCUUUUACUUUAGUUUAAAAAAACAAAAAAAGCAGAGUAACUUCUCUUAAAAUUAACACAUGACAGAGGGCAUUUUGUUUAUGUGUUUCCUACCUCAACCUCAGAUAAUUAAGACUGGCUUUUUGUUUGUUUUUUGGCUCCAUAGUGAGUCUUUAUAUUGUAAAAUAUUGGACUUUUAUGGUGAUUAUUUUCAGUUUUGCUACUUUACAGUUGAGAUUGGUUCAAAGGCAGAAUUUAUGACAGCAUUUGGGACUUUGCUGUCUAGCAUCUAUCAUACAUUAAUUCACCCUUGAUUAAUUUAGAAUUUCUGAAAAUGUGAAUCUACUAUUGAACUUUUUGACAUAGUGAAAAAAAUAUGCUAAACAAAAAUACAGUGUAAAAAAGAUAGGACAAGAAUACAUAAUUAGAGAUCAAAUAGUUUUCAAAGUUUUAAAAAUAGUUGCAAAUGUUCAAAGCAUUAUUUUUCAAUCAUUUUGAUAAGACAGUUUCAACUCAGUUAUUAAUUGUAGCAUUUAUCUUCCUAAGAAAUACUUGCUUUAGAUAACAUUUUUCAAGUAUUACAGUUUCUUAAAAAAACUUUUUUUUUUUCAGUGUAUUAAAUUAGCAUGCAUCUUAACCAAAUAAUACAGCAUGCAAAAAAUAGAGUUCUGCUCAUACCCUCCCCAACCAAGAUACUCAGUCAUCAGAGACAAGUAUUUGAACUUUGUGAGCUUUUUCUUUUGGUAUAUGUACUUGUAUAUCUAAAGAGCUUGUUGGCAUUUUUAUUUCCUGAUUUCUCAGUUUUAGACUAUGUUUAUUUAUUUAAGUCCCAGAGUGGAAGCUUUUUUAAACAAUCUGCACAUACAUAUAGAAACAUUUCCUCUAUCUUCAUUAUUUCAUUAGAGUUUAUUAUAACUUUUGGUUAAAAAUUCAGUUUUGGAGUUCCCCUUGAGGCUCAGUGGGUUAAGGACCCAACAUAGUCUCUGUAAGGAUGCAGGUUUGAUCCCUGGCCUUGCUCAGUGAGUGAUAGAUUCCAAGUUGUUGCAGCUGUGGUAUAGGUUGUAGAUGCAGCUGGAAUCCGGCAUUGCUAUGGCUGUGGCUUAGGCGGGAAGCUGCAGCUCUGAUACGACUCCUGACCCAUUAAUUUCUGUAUGCCACAGGUGUGGCUGUAAGAAGAAGAAAAAAAAAUUAUUUGGUUUUUACCUUAUUAUGAGUAUGUAAAUUUGUUUCUAUCUGAGCCAAAUACUAUGUACUAUGAAUAGAAUUGCUAUCUUGUGCUACUCUUUUUAUCUGGAGUUAAUAACUUGUUUUAUUACAUGUUUAAUUUGUAUGUCCCUGUAUAUCAUUCCAAGUUCUCCAGAAGUGCUCUAGAAUUCUCUAAGUACAAACACAUCAAAUAAAUCAAAUCGGGUAAUCCAGGUUCUUUUUCUUUUUCUUUUACUAUCAGCUUCUUAUUCCAUUCAGCAACAGCUAUCAGUUGAGAACUUUCAUCUCAUCUCAUCAUUCCAAAGUUCCCUUUGCUCUUCUCUUUGAUUUUUCUCUGUAUUGAUUUUGUUUACUCUUUUUCACCUAGUGGACUAUUUUAUGUGUAAUGCUCAUCUAUUCAGUUUUAAAUGCAGAACUAAAAUGUAAAUUUAAUGCUCAGAAUAAAAGAGUUGAUUGGGUGCUUAGUGUGUAAGGGUCAGCCUGAGAAUGAAACAGGCCCCGCACAGUGGGGGAGUCAUUUAAUUGUGGAUUCUUAAAUAUGAAUGUCUAGAGAUCAUUUAUACUGGGCUAAUUUUCCUAGAGCAGAAUCUUCUAAUCUUUUGCAGAAAAAUGGACUGGAGAAUUCCACUCUUGUUGAUGUCGACUUUGAUAUUUUGAUUUAUUGGGCAGAUCUUGGCAUGGUUAAUUGAGAUAAGAGAUGGAAGAAAGAAGUUUGUGGGAGACAGAUGUUGAAUUUGGUUUCAGAUACAUUACCCUUAAGGUUCUUUUGAAAUAUUAAAUAACAAUUUGUAGUAUAGGGCUGGAGUUCACCACAGAAGUCUGUUUUAAAUAUAUUGAGUCACUUGGAGUAGCUUAGCUCCCAUAUUGCAGAUGCUUAAAUAAGAGAUUUAUUUCACUUUUGUGGAAGAGCAUAGUGGAAGAAGGCAGCCUAGCCUGAAGUGAGCAAUAAAAAGUUACCCAGGUUCCUUUUAGACCGCAACUCUGCCAUCUCAGGGUGUGGCAUUCUCUUACAGGGUCCAUGAUUUCUGAUGUAGAUUCUUUAUCUCAGUGGUGUCUCCAGUAACAAAAUGGAGGAAGAGAGCAGAUAGCACAGCAUUUCCUUUUGAAAGAGACUUAGCCAGCCUCCAGUCCAUUUUGUUUAUAUCUCUUUCACCAGAAUUUAGUCCUAUCUCAUCAAACUACCAGGAAGCCCUGCAAAUGUGGUCUUUUAUUCUAUGUGGUAAUGUGGCAGGGUAAAAAAUGGCUUUCUAUAUUUAAAUAAAAAUAAGGGAAUGGAGGACCGAGUAUGAAUCUCAUAGUCCUAAAUUAAGUCAUUGGCAUAUAGAUUGCUUUUGGAAAUAUGGAUGUGUGAAUCACAGCAUGUAUAUUAAAAACUUAUUUUUAAGUCAGAUUUUUGUGAAUCAAGCAAUGAGUGGCAGAUGAGGCACUGAAGAGAAGUGGAGACAAAUCCUUCAAGAAGUUGGAUGAAAGAUUAGAGAGGUAGGACAGUGGUCUGAUAGCUUAGGUUUUCUGGGAGAAAACAGUAAAGUGCGUUAGGAAAGAAGCAAGUCAGAAAUGAAGGAUGUGCUAAGACUGAUGACCAGGAGUUCCCACUGUGGCUCAGUGGUAAUGAAUUUGACUAGUAUCCAUGAAGACGUGGGUUCAACCCAAGGCUUCGCUCAGUGGAUUAAGGAUCUGGCAUUCUCGUGAGCUGUGGUGUAGGUUGCAGACGCAGCUUGGAUCUGGCGUGGCUGUAGCUGUGGUGUAGGUCGGCAGCUGCAGCUCCAGUUCUACUCCUAGCCUUGGAAGUUCCAUACACUGCAGGUGAGGCC